Molecule: ribosomal RNA, 252 nt
Filed under: uncultured bacterium
Lineage: Bacteria
Description: partial 16S ribosomal RNA
Rfam family: Bacterial small subunit ribosomal RNA
Source: RNAcentral
UACGUAUGGACCGAGCGUUGUCCGGAAUCAUUGGGCGUAAAGGGUACGUAGGCGGAUAAGCAAGUUAGAAGUGAAAUCCUAUAGCUCAACUAUAGUAAGCUUUUAAAACUGCUCAUCUUGAGGUAUGGAAGGGAAAGUGGAAUUCCUAGUGUAGCGGUGAAAUGCACAGAUAUUAGGAGGAAUACCAGUGGCGAAGGCGACUUUCUGGCAAUCAUCAGACGCUGAGGUACGAAAGCGUGGGUAGCAAACAGG